Molecule: unclassified non-coding RNA, 348 nt
Filed under: soil metagenome
Description: partial contains 5.8S ribosomal RNA, internal transcribed spacer 2, and large subunit ribosomal RNA
Rfam family: 5.8S ribosomal RNA (bases 1-120)
Source: RNAcentral
GAUGAAGAACGUAGCGAAAUGCGAUAAGUAAUGUGAAUUGCAGAACUCAGUGAAUCAUCGAAUCUUUGAACGCACAUUGCGCCCGCCAGUAUUCUGGCGGGCAUGCCUGUCUGAGCGUCAUUUCAACCCUCAUGCCCCUAGGGCGUGGUGUUGGGGAUCGGCCAAAGCCCGCGAGGGACGGCCGGCCCCUAAAUCUAGUGGCGGACCCGUCGUGGCCUCCUCUGCGAAGUAGUGAUAUUCCGCAUCGGAGAGCGAUGAGCCCCUGCCGUUAAACCCCCAACUUUCCAAGGUUGACCUCAGAUCAGGUAGGAAUACCCGCUGAACUUAAGCAUAUCAAUAAGCGGAGGA